This is an RNA transcript of Eurytemora carolleeae, 3671 nucleotides long. It is a transcript of the gene named tyrosine-protein kinase JAK2, with no coding region annotated. Lineage: Eukaryota; Metazoa; Arthropoda; Copepoda; Calanoida; Temoridae. The record is from RefSeq and is a predicted model, not a curated record.
CGGGAUCUAUGGAGUGGACUAGAGAAGAUAAUGGCGGUGAAACUUCUUCAAGCUAAAGUUGAAACAUGUGUGGAUAAACUUCUUAAGGGAUAUAAGAACACUACGGGACCCUUCCCCCUGAAGGAGGACUUUCUCCGUCAGACGGAGAAAUAUUUCCCCUCCUACUUUCACGAGGAGUUCUCCGCCCACUGGGACGAAGGAGGGCGGAUCAGUGAAAUUAAACUUGUAAUAACUCAUCCAAAGGAGGACAAGGAGACCCAGCUGGUUGUACUCCGGAGGAUAGAUAGAGAGGAGGUUGCUGAGACUGUUGCAACUAUAAGUCAGAUUUGUAAUAUUGCACUUCAGGAUGCUGGAAAUAUCGAGAUAUCCAGGAUGAAUGGUAUCCCCCUAUACUUCAGGAUAUUGAACCAACGGGAUACAAUAUCCAUUCUCAGCCUACUCUGUGGAUAUUAUAGGCUAGUUGAAAAAUGGUCCUUCUCCCUCUGUUCUGAGCUUAAGUAUCCAAUUUUAGAGGAUUUAAUAGCUAAUAAGGUCCAUGGUCCUAUAACUAAGGAAUUUGCUAUCUCCAAAUUACAGAAGCUAAAUUUCAAGAAAGGUUCUUUUCUUCUCCGUCAGAGUCCUGAUAAACAUGAAAAGAUAUUUCUCCUGUUCUGCUACGAGACUGGAUGCAGACCUGAGGAGCUGUGUAUUCUACGGGAUAAGGAUACAGGACUCUAUAGCUUGGACAGAGGUGGGAGAUUCCAAUUGCCAGAGGAAGUGUAUCAACCAUUUUCCUCAGUAUCUCUUGUUGUUCAAGCAAUUAGAACCGGUCAAACCUGUUUCCAGCUGUUGGACUGUAUACACUUGAGCGAAUAUGAUAAAUGUCCUUCUCUUCUACUCUGCAGAAAUCCAGUCCAAUGGAAGCAUGAUUCUUUAGGAAGUAAACCCAGCACAACAUCCGACAGAUAUUUUAUACCAUACAACAACCUUUCUAAGUUUGAAGGGAUUUGUCACCAGGGUCGAAUGUGUAAAGUGUGGAAAGGAGAGUGGAGGCAAAAUACUGCAGAUCGAAGAGUAGUUGCAAUAAAACAGUUAAAGAAGGAUUUAAUGGGAGAGAAAAUGACGGAGUUUCUAAAUCUAGCGACGAGAGUGAUGAGAUGGGAUGAUCCAAGCCUAGUAACUGUAUAUGGAGCUUGUUUACCAAUGGAGAACGAACCACUCGUUAUUGUCAGAGAAUAUUUUGAGUAUGGCCCCCUGGAUGCGUAUCUAAGAGAGAAUAAGUCUAAAAUCCAGAAUGUUGAUAUGCUAGAAGCAGGGACUAGUCUAGCUAGAGCACUCUACUAUUUACAGGGAAAGGGAUUAGUUCACGGUGAAAUCAGAUGUCGGAACGUUUAUGUUAUGGAACACACAGAUAAACUUCUCAAGGUUAAACUUUGUGAAGGGGGGCUCGGAGCACCACGAAUAGAAGAUGUUCAUUGGUUAGAUUGGAUUCAGCUCCAGGGUCUUCUUAAUUCUGGAGCUUUGCUCAACUCUGGUUUCAAGACCACUCCAGGAAGUAUUGGAAGCCCGGGAGGUGGUUCCUGUACUGUAGGAGGAAACAAUAACAGACUGAAGUGCUCCCUAGCUAGUGAUAUUUGGUCCUAUGGAACCCUGCUUUGGGAGAUUUUUAGUAAAGGGGAACCCCCACUACCCAAUACUCCGCCAGUAGAAGCAUGCAAGCAAUAUAUCUCUGGUGUUCGGUUGAAAUGGCCCUUGGGAUCCCAGCUUAAACAGGUUGAAAUGAUUAUGAUGAACUGCUGGAGCCCUUUACCAGAGCAGAGAAUUAAACCACAAACAAUCAUGCGAGAUUUGAACCAAAUACUUUACAGGGUGUUCAACUCUAGGCGUGCCAAUGAUUAUGUAACAAUAGAUUCCGGUGUUACUAUCUCUACAACAGCAAUAUCUAGUCCUGGUACACCUCCCACUCCUCCACUCACAUCUACACUACCUUGUUCAGCAGAUAGAGAUCAAGGGACUCUAGUACCUGUAUUCACGGAGCACACUAGGAAUCUAUUUGAAUCAAGUAUAAACCAGUUACUAAACUUUACCGGGUUCGGAGAAACAGACUCAACCUCACCACUCAUCAACGACUCAGAAAGUUCAAGUUCUCUGUACAAUUCUGAUAUAUCAGCACUAACUUACCAGACAAGCCUGGAUUAUGGAGGAAACUACUCAAUUACUUCAAUAUAUCCGUUGGAAGAUGAUCAGAUUGAGUACAAUACAGAUUUCCCAUUGGGAGAAGGAAACUUUGGGAUUGUUUACAAAGGUGUACUUACUAAGAGUGACGGGGACUGGGAACAGGUUGCGGUGAAGAUGAUUAAGGAUACAGAUAUUAUGCCACAGUCUGCAUUCGACGAUAUGGAACGAGAGAUUGGUCUCAUGAAACGUCUCUCUCAUGAGAACAUUGUCAAGAUCAGGGGGUACAUAUCAAACAUAGGAACCCACACAAUCAUCGUUAUGGAGUACAUCAGGGAGGGUAGUUUGGAUAGAUACCUGCAGGUUAACCGUCGCACCCUAGACUACCCUCGCCAGCUGUUUGUGUAUGCGCAGAAUAUUGUUGAUGGGAUGGAAUACCUCACACAAAACAAGAUUAUUCAUAGGGAUCUGGCAGCUAGGAAUAUUCUGGUAUCUGAUCAUGAAUCUGUAAAAAUCUCUGAUUUUGGUUUGGCUCGAGAUGUGAGCAGUGAUUACUAUGUGAUGCAGUCUACUACGAAUAUCCCCGUGAAAUGGUUGGCGGUGGAGUGUCUUCUGCACAGCAAGUACAGUCACGCCAGCGAUGUUUGGUCCUUUGGUGUUACACUUUGGGAGAUGUUCACAUUCGGACAGACUCCUGCACUUAAUGGCUGUGAAUCAUUUUUCCAACAUGGAGAAUCCUAUCAGAGGCAUAGACAAGAUCUUAAGGAGUGGGUGGAGAAGCUAGAGGCCGGAGUUCGUCUUCCACAAACUGAUUUCUGUCCAAAUUAUUUGUAUAGCAGAGUAAUGUUGCCGUGCUGGGAAGGAGAUGCGGCAAACCGUCCAACCUUUACCCAGCUCCGCCAUAUGCUGAAACAAGUUGAGUUGGAGGCUACCUAGGACAUGCAUUCAACACCAUCUAGUGGACAUUUUUCACAAUAGAUAGUUCACUAACGUGUUGUUUAACCUUUCUGCCAAAUUUAUGAUUUUAUGCCAAACCGUUGUUGUUAGAUUUUCCGUUUGUUCGUUAUUUGAAUAAGGUUACACGGUAAACAGGAAUUAAAUACAAUACAAUACAAAAUAUUUGCAAAUAUUUUAGAAUUAGCUAAAUUUAAUUUAGGAUUAAUUCUGAAGUCAGGGAUUAUUAUAAUUGUUUGACAAAACAUUUAAUUGUAAACCUUUCAUUCGCAUUUAUUCAAAUUUUGAUAUUUGAAUUUCUAGUAAAAUUAUAUUUAUUUUUUAAUGUUGUUGAUAGUUUUUUUACUGUACCGGAAUGUUAUGUUGUACUGUGCUGUACAGUGCCCAGUACUUAGUAUGUUGCGCUGUAGUUAUCUUUGUACAAUUUACAUCUGUUCUUAAGUACAUUACUUAUGUGUACCCAAUGUACCAUUUACAUUGUACAUUGUACUGUACAUGCUGUACUAUAUCGUGAUUGUCUGGAGAAUGGAAAAGUAUAAAGUUUAAUAAAUAUUAGAAACCCU